Molecule: microRNA precursor, 145 nt
Filed under: Gossypium hirsutum (cotton)
Lineage: Eukaryota; Viridiplantae; Streptophyta; Magnoliopsida; Malvales; Malvaceae
Description: miR7496a stem-loop (ghr-MIR7496a, ghr-MIR7496b)
Source: miRBase by way of RNAcentral
CCUCCAUGUUUACAUAUUUUGUUAAUUUGAUCUUGAUUCUAAAAAACUAAACAAAAUUAGCCUCAACAUUUACACAUUUACAAAAAUAUUAUAGGCUAAUUUUGUUAAAUCAUGACCAAAUUGAUAGAAUGUGUAAAAUAGGAGA